GUGUGUGUGUGUGUGUGUGUGUGUGUGUGUGUGUGUGUGUGUGUGUGUGUGUGUGUGUGUGUGUGUGUGUGUGUGUGCGUGCGUGCGUGCGUGCGUGCGUGUAAAGCUUACCGUAUGUGUGUAGGCGAGUGACUAUGCAUAUGUCUACAUGUGUGUGGGAAUGCAGUAAAAAUGAAUGAACCGCAGCAGCAGCAGCCCCGGAUACACAGACCCGCCUCCAGCCACCCACCCAGCCAUGUGUGACUCCUGCCCCAGAUCAGAGCUCCGAAGCCUGGGGAGGGGAGCCAAGAGAGGAGGGGGUCUUGGCACUGGGCCUAGGCCUCAGUGUUUUGUUCUUGGGGGAGCUGGCUGCACUUAAAAAGGCCAUUGACGUCUUGGCUGCUGUGUGCAAUUUGCUUCCCCUCUCUGUCUGCAGAGUAUGUGGGACACACACACACACCCAUACACAUACACACAUACACAUACACACUCUUGUCUGCGAGUCUGCGGGCGAUCACUGGCAUUUAUUGGACCACAGGGAAAAGAACCGGCUGCCUAAGAGCACACACCCCCCCCUUCCUACGCCCCCUCACUAGGCUAAUCACUUCCUCUCCUCUCUGUCUCCAUCUGACCAUCUCUCUCCAUCUUUCUCUUCUUUAUUCCCUCUUCCUCUCUCCUCCACUCUUCCCACUCACUCCAUCUCCCUCUUUAUCUUUCUGUCCAUCAUCAUAUCCUGGAUCUUUUACUAUUUACUCCUUCUCUCUUCUCUGCCUCCCAGCUCAGCCCAGGUGUAGUUAGUGAUGGUGUAGUGAGUGAGUGGAGUAGUGAGUGAGUGGUGUAGUGAGUGAUGGUCUAGUCUAGUGAGUGGUAAUGUAGUGAGUGAUGGUCUAGUCUAGUGAGUAGUGGUGUAGUGAGUGAUCGUGUAGUGGUGUAGUGAGUGAAGGUGUAGUGAGUGAUGGUGUGGUGAGUAAAGAUGUAGUAAAUUAUGGUGUAGUGAGUGAAAGAGUAGUGAGUAAAGGUGAGGUGAGUAAAGGUGGGGUGAGUGAUGUAGUGGGUAAAGGUGUAUUGAGUGAAGGUGUAAUGAGUGCUGUAUUGGGUAAAGAUGUAGUGAGUGAAAGUGUAGUGAGUGAAAGUGUAGUGAGUAAUGUAGUGGGUAAAGGUGUAGUGGGUAAAGGUGUAAUGAGUGAUGUAGUGAGUAAAGGUGUAGUGAGUAAAGGUGUAAUGAGUAAAGGUGUAAUGAGUGAAGGUGUAUUGAGUGAAAGUGUAGUGAGUAAAGCUGUAGUGAGUAAAGGUGUAAUGAGUAAAGGUGUAGUGAGUGAAGGUGUAGUGAGUGAAGGUGUAAUGAGUAAAGGUGUAAUGAGUAAAGGUGUAGUGAGUGAAGGUGUAGUGAGUGAAGGUGUAGUGAGUGAAAGAGUAGUGAGUGAAUGUGUCGUGAGUAAAGCUGUAGUGAGUAAAGCUGUAGUGAAUAAAGGUGUAAUGAGUAAAGGUGUAGUGAGUGAAAGAGUAGUGAGUGAAUGUGUAGUGAGUAAAACUGUAGUGAGUAAAGGUGUAGUGAGUGAAAGUGUUGUGAGUGAAGGUGUUGUGAGUGAGAGUGUAGUGAGUGAAAGUGUAGUGAGUGAAGGUGUUGUGAGUGAAAGUGUAGUGAGUGAAGGUGUUGUGAGUGAAAGUGUAGUGAGUGAAGGUGUAGUGAGUGAAAGAGUAGUGAGUGAAUGUGUAGUGAGUAAAACUGUAGUGAGUAAAGGUGUAGUGAGUGAAAGUGUUGUGAGUGAAGGUGUUGUGAGUGAGAGUGUAGUGAGUGAAAGUGUAGUGAGUGAAGGUGUUGUGAGUGAAAGUGUAGUGAGUGAAGGUGUUGUGAGUGAAAGUGUAGUGAGUGAAGGUGUUGUGAGUGAAAGUGUAGUGAGUGAAGGUGUUGUGAGUGAAAGUGUAGUGAGUGAAGGUGUUGUGAGUGAAAGUGUAGUGAGUGAAGGUGUAGUGAGUGAAAGUGUAGUGAGUGAAGGUGUUGUGAGUGAAAGUGUAGUGAGUGAAGGUGUAGUGAAUAAAGGUGUAAUGAGUGAUGUAGUGGGUAAAGGUGUAGUGGGUGAUGUAGUGGGUGAUGUAGUGGGUAACGGUGUAAUGAGUAACGGUGUAGUGAGUGGUGUAGUGGGUAAAGGUGUAGUGAGUGAUGUAGUGAGUGAAGGUGUAAUGAGUAAAGGUGUAGUGGGUAAAAGUUUAGUGAGUGAAAGGUGUAGUGAGUAAAAGUGUAGUGAGUGAAAGUGUAGUGAGUGAUGUAGUGAGUGAAGGUGUAAUAAGUAAAGGUGUAGUGGGUAAAAGUUUAGUGAGUGAAAGGUGUAGUGAGUAAAAGUGUAGUGAGUGAAAGUGUAGUGAGUGAUGUAGUGAGUAAAGGUGUAGUGAGUGAUGUGUUGAGUAAAGGUGUAGUGAGUAAAGGUGUAAUGAGUGAAGGUGUAGUGAGUGAAAGUGUAAUGUGUAGUGAGUAAAGCUGUAGUGAAUAAAGGUGUAGUGAGUAAAGGUGUAGUGAGUGAAGGAGUAGUGAGUGAAAGAGUAGUGAGUGAAUCUGGAGUGAGUAAAGGUGUAGUGAGUAAAGAUGUAGUGAGUGAAGGUGUAGUGAGUGAAGGUGUAAUCAGUAAAUGUGUAAUGAGUAAAGGUGUGGUGAGUGAAAGAGUAGUGAGUGAAUGUGUAGUGAGUAAAGCUGUAGUGAGUAAAGCUGUAGUGAAUAAAGGUGUAGUGAGUAAAGCUGUAGUGAGUAAAGCUGUAGUGAAUAAAGCUGUAGUGAGUAAAGCUGUAGUGAAUAAAGGUGUAGUGAGUAAAGGUGUAGUGAGUGAAAGUGUAGUGAGUGAAAGUGUAGUGAGUGAAAGUGUUGUGAGUGAAAGUGUAGUGAGUGAAGGUGUAGUGAGUGAAAGUGUUGAGAGUUUUACACACUCACAUAAAACUACUUCCCUCACAUCUCUCCUCAAUCACAUCCAGUAUAGACAUCUGUAAUGUUUCAGUUUCUACCUGUCAAGCAGAUGCUGGAGUGAAACAACCUCCGGCAUGUGUGUGUGUGUGUGUGUGUGUGUGUGUGUGUGUGUGUGUGUGUGUGUGUGUGUGUGUGUGUGUGUGUGUGUGUGUGUGUGUGUGUGUGUGUGUGUGUGUGUGUGUGUGUGUGUGUGUGUGUGUGUGUAACCCUCUCUCAACGUGUGUGUCUGUGGGUGGUGGGAUAGGCAGAAUAUAUAUUUCCAUUCUAAUGAAAUUAAUGAAUAAAGUAUCUGUUCUAUUCUAAUCU
Molecule: RNA transcript, 3238 nt
Organism: Oncorhynchus keta (chum salmon)
Lineage: Eukaryota; Metazoa; Chordata; Actinopteri; Salmoniformes; Salmonidae
Exons: 4
Source: RefSeq, a predicted model, not a curated record